Molecule: long non-coding RNA, 1028 nt
Filed under: Takifugu rubripes (torafugu)
Lineage: Eukaryota; Metazoa; Chordata; Actinopteri; Tetraodontiformes; Tetraodontidae
Description: lncRNA (ENSTRUG00000027923.1)
Source: RNAcentral
UCAGCGCCGAUGAGUUUGAAGGAAUAACCCUCACGCAAACAGACAUUGGUAUAGUUUCUUUUAAAUGAUUAACUCAGUUUUUUUUUUGUUGUUUUUGUUUUGUUUUUUAUGAACAGCUCAAUUGUUCAUAGAUUGCUGAAAUAUAACUUUUUAUGAUACAUUUUUCAGAUCUGUUAGCCAGGGCUGAAAGAUUGGUAUCCGAAGACAACCAAGAAACUGAAAAAGCAGUAAAAGCAUUGCUGUGUAACUGAAAUUGGUGAAAUUGAGAUUGAGAGGGAAACCUCGGCACUUCAACAUGGGACUGACUCAAGUAAGCAGACGAACAAACUCUCCAGAAGACGUGUGAGACAGCCAGGAGGACCGAAGUCGACUGUACAAGAACCAUCAAAACAGAACCUUCAAACGUGCGCCUCUCUGAGCACUGUGACUCCCACGGCCUUUCCACCCUCCCGUGAACCUUCUGCCCCUGCGAGGAGACGUAGAAUACGGCAAGCGUGUACCACUCUGACCCCUGUACUUACAGCGGCACCCACGGCAGCUCCACUCUCUGCGAGGCCGAUAAGGAGACGUAGGAACCAGAGACACAAGUCUAACAUUGUCAGGAGAUUGUUUGAUGGUAUAUUUUAUACUAUAUCUUCUUGACUAAUAAUAAUAAUAAUAAUAAUAUAUAAAAAAAAUAAUAACUCAUCUCUCAUCUAAUUACAGAUUCAGGGUUGAGAUUAAACGAGAGCGUUCCUGAACCGUCCUUCGACCGGGUGGAGGGGGAUACGGGGGGCAACGAUCAUCCCCAACAACAGCACAAGCACCACGAGAGCGUUCGUCAACCGUCCUUCGACAGGGUGGAGGGGGAUACAGUCGGAUACAUUCAUUCCCAACAACAGCACGAGCACCACGAGAGCGUUCCUGACAGGGUGGAGGGGGAUACAGGCUGCUACAUUCAUUCCCAACACCCCCAAGACAAGGUAGUGCUGGAGAUUUUCAAUAAUGUCAUACGGUAUAUUGUUUCCUCCAAUUGUAACCAAAGGUGU